This 460-nucleotide ribosomal RNA is filed under the name uncultured bacterium. Its description in RNAcentral is "partial 16S ribosomal RNA". It matches the Rfam family "Bacterial small subunit ribosomal RNA", at positions 338 to 795 of the family's 1533-position model. The record is from RNAcentral.
CCUACGGGAGGCAGCAGUGAGGAAUAUUGGUCAAUGGGCGCGAGCCUGAACCAGCCAGGCCGCGUGAAGGAAGACGGCCCUAUGGGUUGUAAACUUCUUUUGUAAGGGAAUAAACGAAGCAACGCGUCCCUUUUUGAAUGUAUUUUAUGAAUAAGGAUCGGCUAACUCCGUGCCAGCAGCCGCGGUAAUACGGAGGAUCCAAGCGUUAUCCGGAUUUAUUGGGUUUAAAGGGAGCGUAGAUGGUUGGUUAAGUCAGUGGUGAAAUUCUGCGGCUCAACCGUAAAAUUGCAUUUGAUACUGGCAGCCUUGAGAGCAGUUGAGGUAGGCGGAAUUCGUGGUGUAGCGGUGAAAUGCUUAGAUAUCACGAAGAACACCGAUUGCGAAGGCAGCCUACUAAGCUGCCACUGACAUUGAGGCUCGAAAGUGUGGGUAGCAAACAGGAUUAGAUACCCGAGUAGUC